Molecule: non-coding RNA, 26 nt
Filed under: Homo sapiens (human)
Lineage: Eukaryota; Metazoa; Chordata; Mammalia; Primates; Hominidae
Source: RNAcentral
UGCAUCCGGCCCCUUCAUUGAGAUGC